CAGGCGCGAAACCUUUACAAUGCACGCAAGUGUGAUAAGGGAAUCCUCAGUGCUCAUGCAAUGCAUGGGCUUUUGUUAAGCGUAAAUAGCUUGGCGAAUAAGUGGUGGGUAAGACUGGUGCCAGCCGCCGCGGUAACACCAGCGCCACGAGUGGCAACCACGUUUAUUGGGCCUAAAGCGUCCGUAGCCGGCUAGGUAAAUCUCUUGUGAAAUCGUCAUGCUUAACGUGACGGCGUGCUCGAGACACUGCUUAGCUUGAGACCGGGAGGAGUCAGAGGUAUUCCUGAGGGAGCGGUAAAAUGUGAUAAUCUCAGGAGGAUCACCUAUGGCGAAGGCAUCUGACCAGAACGGAUCUGACGGUGAGGGACGAAGGCUAGGGGAGCGAUCCGGAUUAGAUACCCGAGUAGUCCUAGCAGUAAACGCUGCGAGCAAGAUGUUGCGCUUCUCAUGAGGAUGCGCAGUGUCGAAGAGAAGUCAUUAAGCUCGCCGCCUGGGAAGUACGGUCGCAAGACUGAAACUUUAAGGAAUUG
RNAcentral lists this ribosomal RNA (530 nucleotides) under uncultured archaeon. RNAcentral's name for it is "bacterial SSU rRNA". It matches the Rfam family "Archaeal small subunit ribosomal RNA", at positions 336 to 867 of the family's 1478-position model. The record is from RNAcentral.